This 2206-nucleotide long non-coding RNA is filed under the name Homo sapiens (human). RNAcentral's name for it is "non-protein coding lnc-CAND1-3:3". Lineage: Eukaryota; Metazoa; Chordata; Mammalia; Primates; Hominidae. The record is from RNAcentral.
UGCUGGGAUUACAGGCGUGAGCCACGUCCCCCAGCCAGUUUCUUAAUCUAUACAUCUAGCCCAGUCCAUGCCCCUGUUUCAGACUAUUAUAUCCAACCACCUGCUAUACAUCUCAUAAAGGUAUCUCAAACACAGCAUAUCUAAAGCUGAAGUCAUCAUCUUGCCCUGGUUUUUCCUGUCUCUUUGCUGAUGGCAUCCCAUUUACCCAGUCAUUCAAACUGGAAAUCUAAAAGCCUCACUUAGCAAGAGUUUGGAGGCAGAAUAUGAUAAAGAACAAGGACUCUGGGAGGCCAAGGCAGGUGGAUUGCUUGAGGUCAAGAGUUCGAGACCAGUCUGGCCAACAUGGCGAAACCCCGUCUUUGCUAAAAAAACACAAAGAAAUUAGCUAGACGUGGUGGCACAUGCCUGUAGUCCCAGCUGUGUGGGAGGCUGAGGCAGGGGAAUUGCUUGAACCUGGGAGGUGGAGGUUGCAGUGACCCAAGAUUGCAUGCACCACUGCACUCCAGCCUGGGUGACAAAGCGAGACCCUGUCUCAAAAAAAACAAGGACUCUACAGAUAGAUAGACAUCAUAUAUCAUAUUAGUUUGAAUCCUGGCUGUUAGCUGUUAGACUUGGGCAAAUAAUUUAACCUCAACUUUCCCUAUCUAUAAAAUGGGAAUUAAAAUAUUUGCACCUUAUAGGGUUAUUGUGAGGAUUAAAUAGGAACAUUGUAUAAAGCACUUAAAACAGUACCUGGGACAUACUAAGUAAUAUAAUUGUUAACUCUUACUAGCAUUCUGUCCCUUUUAUUUCCUAAAUAUCUCUCAUGCCCAUCUCCUAAAUAUCUCUUUCCUAAAUAUCUCUCAUGCUUUUGGCUUAAGACCUCUUUUCCUCCUUAUCUAUUGACUGGACUGCGGCAAAUGCCUGCUAAUCGUUAUUUUUGUGUUCAUUCAUUUAGCAAGCCAAUUUAUUACGCGCUUAGGGUGCUGCCAGGGCUACAAAAGCUGUUGAGACUGUACUUGAUAUGAAGAAGCUUGCUGAUUAUCAUGGGAAGACUGACAUAAGGAAGCACCAUAAAAUUCUGCUGUAUGAGAGGUAUACACGGGAUACUGGGGGUUAAUAAUUGAGGGUAUGGUCCAUUCAACAUGAGUGAGACAGAAACAAUUCAUAAAGGAGAUGAAAUGUCUUGAGGAAUGAGCUCUUAGAAGAAUAGUUUUCAAAUGAGUGUGCAUCACAGUCACCUGUAAGACUUAUUAAAACAGAUCGCUGGGCCCUACACCCAGAGGCUGUGGUUCAGUAGGCUGUAGUAAACCAGUAAUUUGUAUUUCUAUGACGUUCCCAGGUUCUAAUGCUGUUCCCCAAGGCCACACCUUGGAAACCACCACAUUAAAAUACCCAGAAGGCAUUAAUUCCCAGUCCUUCCUCUACACAGCUGCAAAACAAUGGUCCUGACCAUUUCAUCUUUGCACUACAUCCUUCACUGUCUCUCUUUUGCCCAUAGGAUAAGUACAAACUAGAUCUGGUUACUGCCUGCCCCACCAGCCUCAGCAUCUCUCACAACUAGGACUAACUUUUUCUUCUGACAACUAUAAAAUAUUUCCCUUGCCUUCUCAAGUUUGCUCAAGGUCAAGUUAUGCCUUUUGCCUGGAAUGACUUGACUUCUCUUUUGUUUUACUUAGCUGGCUGCUUUUCAUCUUGUAGGUUAGGUCAAGGACUCCAGGAAGUCUUCCCUGGACAAGUAAUGAAGAGGGCAUAAUCCAAGGGCCAACUCCCAUGUUUGGAACCUGACUCCAUUUUCAGGCACGUAAUAUUGUCAAAUUCCUUUUAAAAGCACCUGUCUGUCUGUUAACGUUGGUGCAGAUACUGCUAUUCCCCUCCUCCAUACCAUUGCUGAUGGUUACUGAGGGUAUGGGAAGGGCCGACUAGUCCAGCUGUUCACAAACAGCCCUUAAUGUCAAACUGAAUACUGCCAACGUAGUUCCAGUUUCUGUAUCUAAAGACUCAGCUUGGAGUCACUUGUCUGGACUAAAAGUAACCCCUCCUUGUCUGGUUUGUGACUUUCUGUACUCUGAUGCCCCCAGCUUUCUGCCUUCUAGAAAUUUGUCAGAAUUUCCAAAAUUCUUGGGCCUUCCUUCUUGCUCUAUAUAUGGUUUUGGAUUCAUUCCUUUUAAAAAAUAUUUACUGUCAUUUCAGUAGAAUUUUGACACAAUAAAUAUAAGCACAUCAG